CCUACGGGAGGCAGCAGUGGGGAAUAUUGGACAAUGGGCGAAAGCCUGAUCCAGCAAUGCCGCGUGAGUGAUGAAGGCCUUAGGGUUGUAAAGCUCUUUUACCCGGGAUGAUAAUGACAGUACCGGGAGAAUAAGCUCCGGCUAACUCCGUGCCAGCAGCCGCGGUAAUACGGAGGGAGCUAGCGUUGUUCGGAAUUACUGGGCGUAAAGCGCACGUAGGCGGCUUUGUAAGUUAGAGGUGAAAGCCUGGAGCUCAACUCCAGAAUUGCCUUUAAGACUGCAUCGCUUGAAUCCAGGAGAGGUGAGUGGAAUUCCGAGUGUAGAGGUGAAAUUCGUAGGUAUUCGGAAGAACACCAGUGGCGAAGGCGGCUC
RNAcentral lists this ribosomal RNA (372 nucleotides) under uncultured bacterium. RNAcentral describes it as "bacterial SSU rRNA". It matches the Rfam family "Bacterial small subunit ribosomal RNA", at positions 338 to 727 of the family's 1533-position model. The record is from RNAcentral.